Molecule: long non-coding RNA, 7780 nt
Filed under: Lactuca sativa (garden lettuce)
Lineage: Eukaryota; Viridiplantae; Streptophyta; Magnoliopsida; Asterales; Asteraceae
Description: long non-coding RNA (LSAT_LNC008589)
Source: RNAcentral
AGAAAGGAAGGGGAAAAUCAAGCUAAGAGAGUUGGGGAGCUUGGAUCUACUUCCAUUUCAUCAGAGGAAGUUUGUUGAGGUAUCAUUCAGAGCUUAUUCUCGUGUUUUUGUUGUUAUGGUCAAAUCUAGGGUUUCUUCAUGCCUUGUUUGCCUUGUAUUUGGAGUGUGAGAGGUCCCAUGGGGAUAUGGUACCUAGAUCUGGACCUUAGUAGGUCCAGAGAGUCCCAAAUGCCAUGCUUUAUGUCCUUCCUUUUGGGUUGGAGACUAGGGUUGCCAUCUUAGAGGUCAUUUCUUCAAAAGGAGCCUUGUAGGUGUUGCAUGGUAGCCAAGACUGUGACUUUACGUGAUGAAUGAGCUUGGGAGGGCCAGAUCUAUGAGUUGAUGGAGCGGAUCUGACCUCAGAAGCGAGAUUGAGUUGAUGCAUGGCAUGGACUCGCCGAGUCCGAAGAACAGACUCGGCGAGUAGCAUGAAGAUUGUCCUUAACCACUCAGCGAGUGGUCUUGCCGAGUUAAGGGUUGACUCAGUGAGUCAGGGAGAGUUAGAGAGGGUUGACAGGUGGACUGAGUCGAGCUGGAACUCGCCGAGUUGUUCUUGAGACUCGGCGAGUUGAGUCGUGGUGGCCCCGCGAUUCAUGCCAGGUGGAACUCGUCGAGUCGGGGGUGUACUCGACGUGUCAGGAGAGGAUCCUAGAGAGUCAGUGAACACGUAUUGACUCGCCGAGUCCGGUCAAAGUUGACCGUUGACUGUUGACCAGAGUUGACCAGUGUUGACUUGAUAGGGGUAGUCAACCUUAGUGGUAAAAGUGUUAAUUAGAGAUAUAUGAUGUUAUAGGAGGAUUAUAGCUCGGAGGAUCGAGCACGAGUGAUUUCCAGGAUUCGCGAGUUAUCGAGAUAUACGAGGUGAGUCUUCUCACUAUACUUUACCUUGAGUAGGUAAUCAGAGUUAUGUGACAGAGUAUUUGUAUGCUAUAUGUAUGUUAUGUGUUGUACUGCAUUAUUUCUAUGUGAUUUAUGCUGUGCAUGUUUAUAGAGUUGGAACCGGAAGGUUCCCAGAGUUAGAACCAGUGGGUUCACAGAGUAGGGUCUACGGACCCACAGAGUUAUAGCCUCGAGUGGCUAAUAUGUGUUAUGUGUGGUAUUUUGGGGAACUCACUAAGCUUUGUGCUUACAGUGUUAGUGUUGUUUGUUUCAGGUACUAGUGAUGACCGUGGGAAGGCGCCGGCUUGAUCUGUACACACGCAUGGGAUUUUUAUGAUAUGUGAUCUUGGGAUUUUGUAUGAUAUGGAUUGGAGUUUUAAACUUGAUGUUUUAUGAAAAUUAAAUGAAAAUGUUUUUAUAUUAUGCGAAAAAUUAUUUUGAAAUUCACGGUGUUACAAUUUGGUAUCAGAGCCUUGGUUUGAGGGAUUCGAGUACACCUUCGGGCGUAUUUGAACUCAAACUGAGGAUUUGAGAAGUAUUUUCAAAAAGAGUAAAAGAUUUUUGGAAAAACGCAGAGCAGAGUUGUGUGUACGAUCAGUCCGCGCCCGAACGGUGAUUUCCCAAAAUACCCUCAUGUUAUGUGAUAUUGAUAUUGAUAUGAUGUAUUCUCAUGCUAGAGUAGGCUAGGUAUUCCUAUUAGGACUAGAGUGGCCUGAUUUGUGAUGCCUUAGCCUAGGAAGAGGUGAGCUGCUAUGAGAUGCUUGAGAGUGAGUAGGUAGCAGCGAGGGGCUUAUGAGAGAUCUGUUAGAGAGUGGAUUGUGCAUGAUAGAGUACUUGGAAUUUGGGAUCCGAAGAGGAGGACUUGGGGUGUAUUCUGAUACGGUGCGGACAGUAGUAUUGGGCCCGUACUACUGAAAGCACCGGAGCGGUGUACAGCCCAAGUAAGAAUCUUUGGAAUACCAAGGAUCAAGGAGGAAUGAGUUGUCGAGUGUGAGUAUGCUCGAAUGGAUUCUAAUUUAUCGUAUGUUGUAUUUCAGAGGUAGAUCAUGGUGAGGACACGUUUGAUGCCUGAGAGCAGUGAUACCAGUGAUGAGGAGAUCCGCCGGAUCAUCCAUGAGGAGGUGGCUGCGGCCAUCAGGGCAGAGAUACCAGAGAUGUUCGGGUCUAUUAAGACCACGCUGAUUGAGACCUUCGACGAGCGUUAUGCCGCUCUUUCUGAGGCUGCUGUUGCAGCGGCCACCGCAGCUAUUGCUGCCGCGAGGCCGCAGGGUGGUGAUGCGUUGCUGUUCCGAGAGUUCAGCAACACAAAACCGCCAGAGUUUGAUGGGACCCAGGACCCGGUGGCGGCUAUGAGAUGGAUUUCUGACAUAGAGGGGUGUUUCUUCACUUGCUCAUCUCCUGAGCAUUUGAAGGUUCGGUUCGCGCUGAACCAGCUUCGCUUGGGAGCGAAGGACUGGUGGAAGUUUGUGACGGCGCAUUUUACGCCUGCUGAGCUUGCGGCAGUGACCUGGGAGAGGUUCACUGCCAUGUUCCGAGAUGAGUACGUUCCCCAGGUGGAGAGGGAGCGUUUGGCCCAGGAGUUUCUGACCCUCAAGCAGGGUACUGAGUCUGUUACGGUGAUUACCAGGAUGUUCCAUGAGAGGGCGAUGUUCUGCCCUGAGCACGUGUCCACUGAGCAGGCACGUAUGAGCCGAUAUUUGAGUAUCUUGAGGCGAGACAUUCGGGAGUUCGUGGCGAACUCCUCGUACCGGACAUUUGCCGAGCUUCAGGCAAAUGCCCGGAAGAGGGAGAUUGAGCUAGAGACUCAGGCCAGGGAGGAGGCGGAGUCUCAGGGGAGGGAUCGGCGACCGGCACAGUCUCAGCCGGCAGCCAAGCGGGCCAAGCCCGCUGAUCCCAAACCAGGGAGCCAGAAGGGCCGCACUUGUGGGAAGUGUGGCAAGGGUCAUGAUGGAGUCUGCAGAGCGGGAUCUUGCUACAAGUGUGGCAAGGAGGGGCAUAUGGCCAAGGACUGCCCCAAGGGGUUUGCGGUGUGUUUUCACUGCAACCAGACCGGACACCGGAAGGCAGAGUGUCCGCAGUUGUGAGGAUCAUCUCAGGGAGCACCUCAGGGAUCUGCCCCUGCUGCCAUCAGAGCUACAGAGAGUCGGCCAGUGAAGGCCGAGGCGCCGAGGGCACGAGGGAGAGCUUUUCAGCUGACCGCGGAGGAGGUCCGCGCAGCGCCCGAUGUCGUGGCUGGUAUGUAUUCUUUCGUGUAUUUAUUUUGAUGUUGAGAUAUUAUGCUUAUAUUAUGUUAUGCGUAGGUACUUUUCUUGUGAAUUCUGUACCUGCCUUGGUGUUAUUUGACUCGGGUGCGAGUCGGUCUUUUGUAUCUUUGGCUUUUAGUCAGCAUAUCAGUGUUAGUCGUGAGGCGUUGAGUCGGCCUCUGAGAGUUUCCAUAGCUGACGAGAGGGUGAUAUAUGCCACGGAGGUUCUCCGAGGGUGCGUAGUCGAGAUUUUCGGUGUUGAGUUCCCGAUUGAUCUGGUUCCUAUUGCGAUGGGUGAUGUCUGUGUCAUUGUGGGCAUGGACUGGUUGAGCAGAUUCGGUGCGGUUAUCGACUGCGAGCGACAGCUGGUGACCAUACGAGACCCUAGUGGGGGAGUUCUUACGGUGUACGGCGAGGGUACACGUUCUGGAUCAGCGUUUUGUUCGGCCGCUAGGGCAAGGCAGUGUCUACAGCAGGGCUGUAAGGGUUUUGUGGCGUAUGUGAUGGAUACGCGGGUGGAUUCCGAGAGACCGAGGUCAGUUGAGGAGGUUCCGGUAGUGCGUGAGUUCCCGGAUGUAUUUCCCGAGGAGUUGCCGGGUGUGCCUCCUGUGAGGCAAGUGGAGUUCAGUAUCGAUUUGGUUCCGGGGGCCGCGCCUAUCGCUAAGGUGCCUUAUCGCCUUGCACCUCCAGAGAUGCAAGAGUUAUCCUCGCAGCUUCAGGAGCUGCUGGGGAAGGGGUUUAUUCGGCCGAGCAGCUCGCCGUGGGGAGCGCCUAUCCUGUUCGUCAAGAAGAAGGAUGGUUCACACCGGAUGUGCAUUGAUUACCGGGAGUUGAACAAGCUGACGGUCAAGAACCGUUACCCGUUGCCGAGGAUCGACGAUUUGUUCGAUCAGUUGCAGGGAGCAUCUUGGUUCUCCAAGAUCGAUUUGAGGUCUGGAUAUCAUCAGGUGAGGGUGCGGGAUGAGGACGUCCAGAAGACAGCGUUCAGGACGCGUUAUGGGCAUUAUGAGUUUGUGGUGAUGCCUUUUGGGCUCACCAAUGCCCCGGCAGUGUUCAUGGAUCUCAUGAACCGAGUGUGUAGGCCGAUGCUGGAUCGGUCGGUGAUUGUAUUUAUCGACGACAUUCUGGUAUAUUCGAGAUCUAGAGAGCAGCAUGAGGAGCAUUUGAGAGAGGUUCUCGGAGUUCUGAGAUCGGAGAGGCUUUAUGCCAAAUUCUCCAAGUGUGAUUUCUGGUUGCGGGAGGUCCAGUUCUUAGGACAUCUCGUUAACCAGGAAGGGAUAUUGGUCGAUCCGGCCAAGGUUGAGGCGGUGAUGAGUUGGGAGGUGCCGAAGUCACCCUCCGAGAUCAGGAGUUUCCUAGGGUUGGCAGGGUAUUAUCGGAGGUUUAUCAAGGAUUUCUCUAAGAUCGCAGUGCCACUCACCAGAUUGACCCGGAAGGGUGUUGCUUUUUCAUGGGGCCCCGAGCAGCAGGCCUCCUUUGAGACACUUCGCCAAAGGUUGUGCGAAGCCCCGGUGUUAGCCCUCCCGGAAGGGAUGGAGGACUUUGUGGUAUACUGUGAUGCAUCGAUUUUGGGGUUGGGAGCGGUGCUGAUGCAGAGAGGGCAUGUGAUAGCAUAUGCAUCGAGGCAGCUGAAGCCUCAUGAGACGAGAUAUCCCACCCAUGAUCUAGAGUUGGGGGCAGUGGUGUUCGCCCUCAAGAUUUGGCGUCACUACUUGUAUGGGGUUCGGUGUACGAUAUACACGGACCAUAAGAGUUUGAAGUAUUUGAUGGAUCAGCCCAACCUAAAUAUGCGUCAGAGAAGGUGGUUGGAUGUGGUCAAGGAUUAUGAUUGUGAGAUCCUGUACCACCCAGGCAAGGCUAAUGUGGUAGCCGAUGCAUUGAGCCGCAGGGCGGAGAGCACCCCGCUGCGGGAUGUAUGUUUGAGAUUGACCGUGAUAGCUCCAGUGUUGGACGCCAUUCGUGGGGCACAGGCCGAGGCUGUGCAACCUGAGAUGCAGAAGAGGGAACGGGUUGUUGGUUUGGUUUCAGAGUUCGUUACCGAUGGUCGGGGGCUUAUGACAUUUCAGGGGCGUAUCUGGGUGCCGUUUGUGGGAGGAACGCGUACCAUUUUGAUGGAGGAGGCUCAUCGGUCGAAAUUUUCGAUCCAUCCGGGGGCCACUAAGAUGUAUUUGGAUCUGAGAAAGGAGUAUUGGUGGCCCUGUAUGAAGAGGGAUGUCGCGUGGUUUGUUGAGAGGUGCUUGACCUGCCGUAGGGUUAAGGCCGAGCACCAGAGGCCGCAUGGUAAGUUGCAGCCAUUGGAGGUUCCCGAAUGGAAGUGGGAACAGAUCACUAUGGAUUUCAUCACCAAAUUGCCAAGGACUGCCAGAGGAGUUGAUGCAAUUUGGGUGAUUGUGGACAGAUUGACGAAGAGCGCUCACUUCCUUGCUAUCAGCGAGAGUUCUUCAGCAGAGAAAUUGGCGGAGGUGUAUGUGAGGGAAGUGGUAUCUCGGCAUGGGGUGCCGAUCUCGAUUGUUUCAGACCGUGAUGUGCGCUUCACUUCCAGAUUCUGGAAGAAGUUUCAUGAGGAGUUGGGUACUAGACUGCAUUUUAGUACCGCAUAUCAUCCCCAGACAGACGGUCAGAGUGAGCGGACGAUUCAGACGCUCGAGGACAUGCUCCGGGCAUGUGUGUUGGAUUUCGGGGGUAGCUGGGAUGCAUAUUUGCCCUUGGCAGAGUUUUCCUACAACAACAGCUAUCAUUCGAGCAUUGGUAUGCCACGCUUUGAGCUGUUGUAUGGGAGGAGGUGUCGGACCCCCAUUUGUUGGGGAGAGGUUGGACAACGGGUGAUGGGCAGUACAGAGAUCGUGCUUCAGACGACAGAGCAGAUCCAGCAGGUCAGACAGAUGUUUUUGACCGCUCAGAGUCGUCAGAAGAGUUAUGCAGACAGACGUCGGUCCGAGCUUGAGUUUCAGGUCGGCGACCUUGUACUCCUGAAGGUCUCUCCUUGGAAAGGAGUGAUUCGAUUCAGGAAGAGGGGCAAGUUGGGGCCCCGAUAUAUUGGUCCUUUCCGUGUGAUCGCGAGGGUAGGCCGGGUAGCCUAUCGUUUGGAUUUGCCAGCAGAGUUGGGGCAGAUUCACGACACUUUUCAUGUGUCACAGCUGAGGAAGUGUAUAGCCGACGAGUCGGCAGUGGUUCCAUUAGAGGAUAUUCAGGUGGAUGCGAGCCUGAAUUAUGUUGAGAGACCAGUGGCCAUCAGAGAUCGAAAAAUCAAGGUACUGAGGAACAAGGAGGUACCCCUGGUUUUGGUUCUGUGGCAGCAUCGGAAGUGGUCCGAGAUGACUUGGGAACCGGAGCGUGAUAUGCGUGAGCACCAUCCAGAGUUAUUUGCAGAGCGGGAUUCGAGGGCGAAGUCUAUUUCUAGUGGGGGAGAAUUGUAACAGCCCGGAUUCCCAGGUAUUGUUCAUUUAUUUAUUUUGAUAAUUUGUGAGAAGAACUCGGCAAGUUGGAGCCUAGACUCGCCGAGUAAGAUCGCAGAUUUGGACGCGGGUUCACGUCUGGACUCAGCGAGUCCAAGGAAUGGACUCAGCGAGUCCGCGCUAUUUAGUGAAACCCUAAUUUCCCGGUCCUAAGCCCUAUUUAAAGGACCUUAUGGCCCUUCAUUGCGGCUACCUUGACCUUGAGAGCACAUAAAUAGAUGAGAGUUCUUGUGAGUGAGAUAAGAGGCCAUUAUUCACCAAUUUUGUGUGUAUUUGCAAGAAAGGAAGGGGAAAAUCAAGCUAGGAGAGUUGGGGAGCUUGGAUCUACUUCCAUUUCGUCAGAGGAAGCUUCUUGAGGUAUCAUUCAGAGCUUAUUCUCGUGUUAUUGUUGUUAUGGUCAAAUCUAGGGUUUCUUCAUGCCUUGUUUUCCUUGUAUUUGGAGUGUGAGAGGUCCCAUGGGGAUAUGGUACCUAGAUCUGGACCUUAGUAGGUCCAGAGAGUCCCAAAUGCCAUGCUUUAUGUCCUUCCUUUUGGGUUGGAGACUAGGGAUGCCAUCUUAGAGGUCAUUUCUUCAAAAGGAGCCUUGUAGGUGUUGCAUGGUAGCCAAGAUUGUGACUUUACGUGAUGAAUGAGCUUGGGAGGGCCAGAUCUAUGAGUUGAUGGAGCGGAUCUGACCUCAGAAGCGAGAUUGAGUUGAUGCAUGGCAUGGACUCGCCGAGUCCGAAGAACAGACUCGGCGAGUAGCAUGAAGAUUGUCCUAAACCACUCAGCGAGUGGUCUUGCCGNCCUUGCCAAGUUAAGGGUUAACUCAGUGAGUCAGGGAGAGUUAGAGAGGAUUGACAUGUGGACUGAGUCGAGCUGGAACUCGCCGAGUUGUUCUUGAGACUCGGCGAGUUGAGUCGUGGUGGCCCCGCGAUUCAUGCCUGGUGGGACUCGUCGAGUUGGGAGUGUACUCGAUGUGUCAGGAGAGGAUCCUAGAGAGUCACUGAACACGUAUAGACUCACCGAGUCACCCUAGUGCACUCGCCGAGUCCGGUCAAAGUUGACCGUUGACUGUUGACCAUAGUUGACAGUGUUGACUUGAUAGGGGUAGUCAACCUUAGUGGUAAAAGUGUUAAUUAGAGAUAUAUGAUGUUAUAGGAGGAUUAUAGCUCGGAGGAUCGA